UGUUUUUAUAUUUCAAAUGCUAGAACUCAGUGUUGUCUGUCUGAAUUUCUCAAGAAUAAGAACUCAAGUUUUGAAGAAGAAUCAAAUGUUAAUCCUAUAGUACAUCAGAAUUGCACAGUACAACUAUUCAAAAGAAGUAAAUAUGAGCUCCACUCAUGGCUGAGUUUGUAAGACCUAAAUGAAUGAGGUGUAAUCUGGAGGCUACAGCCUGAUCUGAAAAGAAAGAAAGAAAGAAUGGUUCAGAAGUCCCUGAAACUAAGUUAUUGUUUGCAAGAGGUCAAGUCGUCAUCCUUUAAAACUCAUUUAAGACUAGCUGUCAUAUUAAAUGGUACUUUUGAAAAUAAAGAAAAUCUAAUGUGAA
Mastomys coucha (southern multimammate mouse) is the source of this 361-nucleotide long non-coding RNA. RefSeq lists it as uncharacterized. The transcript has 4 exons. The record is from RefSeq and is a predicted model, not a curated record. Lineage: Eukaryota; Metazoa; Chordata; Mammalia; Rodentia; Muridae.